UACAGAGGGUGCGAGCGUUAAUCGGAAUUACUGGGCGUAAAGGGCGCGUAGGCGGUCUAUCAAGUGAGAUGUGAAAUCCCCGGGCUUAACCUGGGAACUGCAUCUUAAACUGAUAGGCUGGAGUAUUGUAGAGGACAGUGGAAUUUCCGGUGUAGCGGUGAAAUGCGUAGAGAUCGGAAGGAACAUCAGUGGCGAAGGCGACUGUCUGGACAAAUACUGACGCUGAGGCGCGAAAGCGUGGGGAGCAAACAGG
Molecule: ribosomal RNA, 253 nt
Filed under: uncultured bacterium
Lineage: Bacteria
Description: partial 16S ribosomal RNA
Rfam family: Bacterial small subunit ribosomal RNA
Source: RNAcentral